UACGAAGGGGGCUAGCGUUGCUCGGAAUCAUUGGGCGUAAAGAGCGUGUAGGCGGCCCGAUAAGUCCGCUGUGAAAGUCCAGGGCUCAACCCUGGGAUGCCGGUGGAUACUGUCGGGCUCGAGUCCGGAAGAGGAGUGUGGAAUUCCUGGUGUAGCGGUGAAAUGCGCAGAUAUCAGGAGGAACACCGAUGGCGAAGGCAGGUCUCUGGGCCACUACUGACGCUGAGAAGCGAAAGCAUGGGGAGCGAACAGG
RNAcentral lists this ribosomal RNA (253 nucleotides) under uncultured bacterium. Its description in RNAcentral is "partial 16S ribosomal RNA". It matches the Rfam family "Bacterial small subunit ribosomal RNA", at positions 524 to 776 of the family's 1533-position model. The record is from RNAcentral.